UACGAAGGGGGCUAGCGUUGCUCGGAAUCACUGGGCGUAAAGGGUGCGUAGGCGGGUCUUUAAGUCAGGGGUGAAAUCCUGGAGCUCAACUCCAGAACUGCCUUUGAUACUGAAGAUCUUGAGUUCGGGAGAGGUGAGUGGAACUGCGAGUGUAGAGGUGAAAUUCGUAGAUAUUCGCAAGAACACCCGUGGCGAAGGCGGUUCUCUGGGACGGUACUGACGCUGAGACGCGAAAGCGUGGGGAGCGAACAGG
RNAcentral lists this ribosomal RNA (253 nucleotides) under uncultured bacterium. RNAcentral's name for it is "partial 16S ribosomal RNA". It matches the Rfam family "Bacterial small subunit ribosomal RNA", at positions 524 to 776 of the family's 1533-position model. The record is from RNAcentral.